Molecule: non-coding RNA, 420 nt
Organism: Picea glauca (white spruce)
Lineage: Eukaryota; Viridiplantae; Streptophyta; Pinopsida; Pinales; Pinaceae
Source: Rfam
UGUCAUAAGAUUUCCCAAAAAUCAAUCUCAAUGAAGAGGGUGUUGAAAUCAAGGAAACAUUUGAGGGCAUUCCAUAACUUUUUCCCCUUCAAGCAAUAUCUCAAACAACCUUCCAUCCAAAGUCAACAAAAUUGAAACCCAUUUUUUAGAGUUGUUGGUGCCUCAUCCUAUAACUGACGACAAUGUUAGGAAAUCCGGAGACAUCGUCGGGGGCCCCAGGAAGACUUAUAUUUUCUUUUUAACAGCUUUCCCACCAUGAAAUUGGCUCAACCAGAGAUAGGGUCCAACAGCUGGAAGAGCAUCGCACAUCUUGUGGUGUCCGGUGUGCCCUCAAUGACCCUUGAAAAUCUGGAGGACCGAGUACCAUCCAUGCCCGAUCAUACUCAUAACUGCAUUAGGUCUCCAAGGUGAACAAUCUCU